Long non-coding RNA from Juglans microcarpa x Juglans regia, 399 nucleotides. RefSeq lists it as uncharacterized. The transcript is spliced from 2 exons. The record is from RefSeq and is a predicted model, not a curated record. NCBI's taxonomy places the organism in Eukaryota, Viridiplantae, Streptophyta, Magnoliopsida, Fagales, Juglandaceae.
UCCUGCUGAGUCUUAUAACUCUGAACUGCCGAGUAGAUCUGCUUCCACUGCGUUCUCCAUGGGGGACUAAGAUACGAUGAUCCAAUGGCUGAAAUUGAAGAAGAGAAUUCUUGUAGCCGUGUACUUAAUUCAGCUGCCACCUGUGCUUCUAUACUUGGAGACAAAGUGGAUAUUUUGCUUCGAUUCGGUGUGAAGUUGCUGGAUUCAGUAGUGAAUUUGAGGAUGAUGAAAUCAAUUGAUGUAAGUCCAAUUUACUUGCUGAAAUUUGUUCAAUGUGAUCAUUUGAGAAGCACCUUUGACUCUGAAUAACAAGCUCCUGUUGAUUAGAAGAAUUUAGAGCUUGUUUUCCUUUACUGUAAGCGCCUAUGGUUGAAUAUGAAAGAGGUAAAUCUUCAUUCU